RNAcentral lists this ribosomal RNA (231 nucleotides) under uncultured bacterium. RNAcentral describes it as "partial 16S ribosomal RNA". It matches the Rfam family "Bacterial small subunit ribosomal RNA", at positions 15 to 237 of the family's 1533-position model. The record is from RNAcentral.
GAUAAUGGCUCAGGAUGAACGCUAGCUACAGGCUUAACACAUGCAAGUCGAGGGGCAGCGGGAUUGAAGCUUGCUUCAAUUGCCGGCGACCGGCGCACGGGUGAGUAACGCGUAUCCAACCUUCCGUACACUCAGGGAUAGCCUUUCGAAAGAAAGAUUAAUACCUGAUGGUAUGAUGAGAUUGCAUGGUAUCAUCAUUAAAGAUUUAUCGGUGUACGAUGGGGAUGCGUU